Molecule: long non-coding RNA, 882 nt
Organism: Apis dorsata (giant honeybee)
Lineage: Eukaryota; Metazoa; Arthropoda; Insecta; Hymenoptera; Apidae
Exons: 2
Source: RefSeq, a predicted model, not a curated record
UAAUCUUCAACUUAGUCUCUAAUAACCUAUUUUCCAAUAAUGUAAUUAUAAUAAUCAUUUUUCAAUAAUUCUCUAUUUUCAAGAAAUAAAUCAAACACUAGAUUUCAGAUUCAGAAAAACAAAGAUGAUUCGGGAUAUCAAAGAUAACUUUAAGAGAAAGGAAAAAUUGUAUUAAACAGAUCGAUCGAAAUUGGAACGUGUAGUGGUAGGUGUCGCACGUGUCGCCCACUCGUGUGUCGCCACCGAAUUACGUAAGAGUCAAAGUCGUUACUCAUUGGCCGAGUCGUUCAUGCAUGAUUCAUCCUUUAAUCCGGCGACCGGCUGUUAAUAACGGCCGAGUUUAUUUUAAAACUAACGUCCUGACACUGGAUCCUACUUGAUCGAAACAAUUCGAAGGCGAUCGACCUGCGGCAAAAAUUUUCAUCUUUCUGUCUUGAUUCACCUCUCUGUAAAUAAGUGUGAUUUUCUGUAACAUGGAAAUCAAAUCAAAAUUAAACCAAAAUGAACGUAGAAAUGGCAAAUCUGAUUACGACACCAAAAAUUGUAGAAAUCAGGUUCAGUCCAGAUAAUUUUAGUUCGAUCGAGUGAGUAAUUCUUUCGAAACCAUGAAUGUUAAUUAAACUCGUCUAAUUAAUCGCUUGGUGAAACUUUCCCUCUCUGUGAACAGUUUUUCUCAGUUUUUUCGAGGGAGAGGCUUGACGAAGAGAUAGUUCUCAAUAGCCAUAAUCGAUCCACGUGAAAGACGAGCGCGAUGAACAGUUUAAUUGGCUUCGACUUGGUUCAAUUUGAUGGGUCUCGAUGUGGUCAAUAAUUAAACGGUGAAUGUUCUGUUUUAAUUUAUAUACAGCAUGUUAUUAUUUAAUCUUUCUUUAAUAGAAAUAA